This 767-nucleotide ribosomal RNA is filed under the name uncultured organism. RNAcentral's name for it is "bacterial SSU rRNA". It matches the Rfam family "Bacterial small subunit ribosomal RNA", at positions 661 to 1432 of the family's 1533-position model. The record is from RNAcentral.
GCGGAAUGUGUAAUGUAGCGGUGAAAUGCAUAGAUAUUACCCAGAACACCGAUUGCGUAGGCAGCUUACCAGCCUGGAACUGACGCUGAUGCACGAAAGCGUGGGGAGCGAACAAGGAUUAGAUACCCUGGUAGUCCACGCCGUAAACGAUGAUCACUCGCUGUUGGCAAUAUAGAAUCAGCGGCUGAGCGAAAGCAUUAAGUGAUCCACCUGGGGAGUACGUCGGCAACGAUGAAACUCAAAGGAAUUGACGGGGGCCCGCACAAGCGGUGGAACAUGUGGUUUAAUUCGAUGAUACGCGAGGAACCUUACCUGGGCUUAAAUGUAGCCGGACGAUUCCGGAAACGGGAUUUCCUUAACGGCUGGUUACAAGGUGCUGCAUGGCUGUCGUCAGCUCGUGCCGUGAGGUGUCGGGUUAAGUCCCAUAACGAGCGCAACCCUUAUUCUUAGUUGCCAGCGGGUAGAGCCGGGGACUCUAAGGAGACUGCCACCGUAAGGUGUGAGGAAGGUGGGGAUGACGUCAAGUCAGCACGGCCCUUACGUCCAGGGCUACACACGUGUUACAAUGGCCGGUACAGAAGGCAGCANACUUGAGAGAGGGCGCGAAUCCAUGAAAGCCGGUCUCAGUUCGGAUUGGAGUCUGCAACCCGACUUCAUGAAGUUGGAAUCGCUAGUAAUCGCGCAUCAGCAACGGCGCGGUGAAUACGUUCCCGGGCCUUGUACACACCGCCCGUCAAGCCAUGAAGCCGGGGUACCUGAAGUCCGUA